Cynoglossus semilaevis (tongue sole) is the source of this 2248-nucleotide long non-coding RNA. RefSeq lists it as uncharacterized. The transcript has 2 exons. NCBI's taxonomy places the organism in Eukaryota, Metazoa, Chordata, Actinopteri, Pleuronectiformes, Cynoglossidae. The record is from RefSeq and is a predicted model, not a curated record.
ACAGAGGUGGAGAGGUGAGAUCAUCAGAUCCAGAAUGGGACUCAGAAUUACUGUCCUUUUUUAUUGGAUUAUUGUAGGUGCAUGAACAACACGUUCUGUGACCAUGUGAGGCGAACGGAACAUUGACAGAACGACAGAGAGAGCAGCAGAGUUCAGUGAAGAACGUCUGAGGGCUUUGACGGGGAGUCAAAUCCAGGUCACCUGAUCCUGGUUGUGAUUCUAUAUGGAAAUUACUGCCUGCUUCGCCGAGGAGAGAACACAGCAAGCAAGAGCAGGAGAAAAGAGGAGUGAGGGAGUGAGUGGGGGAGAGAGAUAAGGAGAGAGAGGAGGCAAUAGGUGCAGCUGAGAACAAACAGUGAGGACGAAGUGAUGGCUUGAUGUUCCCAUUAGUAUCAGUGGAACAUCAGUUAACCUGAUUCUCGGCCGUUAUAAAACUAUCCAAUUUCCAGCCAUAUAAUGGAAGAGAUAAUGACAUUCUGAAUAUAUGAUGAUUUAGGUCGGUAUUAUGUGAAAUGAAGGUAGUUGUAUUUAUGUUCCUAUUUGCCGUUGAGAGUUACCUAAAUGUUGUUUCAGGCUUCGAGUGAAAUGAGAGUGAACUUGUAUUUCAUUAUAGGUCGCAUUUUUAUUUAUUUAUUUUGGAAAAUUUAAACAGCUCCGAAUGGUUCAGUGGAAAAACCUGCCAAAGAACCGUCUUCAUUUUUAAUCUGAUGAUGAUGAUUAAUCAUAGGGUAGCUGGGAGUUAAUUGCAAUUAAUCAUGAUUAAUCAUGCACGUGAUGAUUAACCAUGAGUAAUCCGGAUCACUCUGCAUUUCCAAAUAUGGAAAAAAAGGAACUUAUCAAAAUAAUGGAAUUAUUAAAAAAAAAAAAAUUUAAAAGGUGCAAAAAUAUAACUCAAGAUUUAGGUUCAUAGAGUUGGUGGGCAGGGCUUUCAAAACCUCUUUAAAUCUGUUGUCAUCAACAAUAUUAAUCAGCCUACAGUUCCUCUCAAUCUAUUUGGCAUUUGUGUCAGUCAACCUGUCAGGUGACUUCAUCAUUACUUACUGCCCUGUGCUCGGUGAGGCUGCUCUGACACAAGUCACCUGAAGUUGAAGCCUCCACUAACACGCGCCGGCUGCUGAGAGGAAAUUUUAAGCUCCAGGUACUACUAGAAACAAAAACGCUUCCCCGCAGAAUGUGUAAAUAACACAUACCCAUACAACUGCCAAUGUGUUAAUUUUUUUCAAUCUAAUUAAUCUGCACAAAUUAAUUAAAGUGAUUAACUCAUUAAUUUCGACAGCCCUAGAAAUUAGUAUUUUCCAAAAAGUCUCUCGGUGAAAUAUUUAUCCAUCUAGUACACACUCAUCAUGGGAUUAAGGAGCAAUUCAUUUUCCCUUUAAACUGCCAGUUGGAAAAGCAGGAAAUGACUGCUUCUGGAUGGAUGCAUUGUUUUAUGAGCAGCCAAUCUGCCAGUCAACACAGUGCAUUACACAGCAUGAAAAUAACUAAUCAAAAUUCAAGGUCCAGGAGCACAUAUUUGGCAGCUGAAGAAAAACUUCAAAAUGUCUUUUGUGCCGAGCAGAAAAAAGGGAAUGGAUGUUCCCACUCGGGCUGAAUGUGAAAGUACUGGUUGUCUUUUUCACAGCUUACAGGUAAUUUUCAUUAUUUUUGAGUGUGACUGCGCCUGCUUUCAUUAAAAAAUAAUCAUCCCUCACUUUCAGGCAAUGAGGCAGAAGACAGACAUUGAAAACGACAUCUGUUCCACCCGAGCCUUUGAAGUGGAAAUAAAAUAAACUGAAGGUAGAGCAAAUGGAAUGACAAAACAGAAAAAAACCCAACAACAACAGGCUUAAUAAUCUCCAAGAAAACUCUCAUGUAUUCGUACAGACGAAGGAGUAAUGACAAAUAACAGCUCACGUCAACAACCAGGAGAACAAGGAGAAUAUAUCUGUGGGUUUUUCUGGUGUUUAUGAGUGAUUCGUGUUUUUGUGCAUACGUACAGAGUGAGAGGUUAAUGGAGGGAAUUAAACUGUAAAGGAAUCCCACAGGAGAGCAUAUUUACAAUAAUAAAAAAAGCUUUUUUUUUCUUCCCUUUCCAAAAUGAACCUCUUCCAUCUGGAUCAGUUUUUCUAAAAACAGCCAAAAAUAAAUAAAUAAAAUAAAAUAAAAAAUAUAGAAAAAUGCCUGUAGCGUCCUCAACUAAAGGAUGUCAUAAACUUAGGUUCAUUAUGUCGUAUCUAAUAAAAUCCUGCAAAGUGUCAUUUUUCAUCAA